GGGCUUCUGAGUAUAUUAAUAAUUGCAUAUAUUUUCUAGAAACUUGGUUAGGUUAGUUUGAAUUAAGUCAUCAAAGGAUACUUUUGGCAGAAACCAUUUGAGCUUCUUACAGAAUGUCCAAUAUUUAUGGUGUGAUUAACCAGAAGGUUGAAGGAUGAGAUUCAAUGAGCCUGGCUGGCCUUUGACCCUUCUUGAAAAAUGGUAUGUGAGAUCUCAAAUUGAACCCAAAUCCUUCAAGAUGAUAAAUGAAUCCUUUAUCAUGCAACCAGUACUAAAAAUUUUUGAACACGGGAAGAUGCUUAAACAUUCCUUCCAUCGUUGUUUUUUACAUUGUGCUUUUUUUAGUUUUACUCAUAUAAAGUUCUAGUAGGCAUAAACUACAUAAUUUUCUUGUUUUAAAAAAUAAACAAUAUUUAUUCA
Molecule: long non-coding RNA, 420 nt
Filed under: Androctonus crassicauda
Lineage: Eukaryota; Metazoa; Arthropoda; Arachnida; Scorpiones; Buthidae
Source: RNAcentral